GAUGAACGCUGGCGGCGUGCCUAAUACAUGCAAGUCGAGCGAACAGACGAGGAGCUUGCUCCUCUGACGUUAUCGGCGGACGGGUGAGUAACACGUGGAUAACCUACCUAUAAGACUGGGAUAACUUCGGGAAACCGGAGCUAAUACCGGAUAAUAUAUUGAACCGCAUUGUUCAAUAGUUAAAUACGGUUUUGCUUUCACUUAUAGAUGGAUCCGCCCCGCAUUAGCUAGUUGGUAAGGUAACGGCUUACCAAAGCAACGAUGCGUAGCCGACCUAAGAGGGUGAACGGCCACACGGGAACUGAGGAAGGGUCCCGACACCUACGGGAGGAAGCAGCAGGGAAUCCUACGGAAUGGGGCAAAGGCUGACGGAGGAAAGCCGCGUGAGGGAUGAAGGUGUUCGGAUCGGAAAACUAUGUAAGUAGGGGAGAACAAAAGUGUAAGUAACUAUGAACGUAUUGACGGUACCUAAUCAAAAAGCCACGGCUAACUCCGUG
RNAcentral lists this ribosomal RNA (497 nucleotides) under uncultured bacterium. RNAcentral describes it as "partial 16S ribosomal RNA". It matches the Rfam family "Bacterial small subunit ribosomal RNA", at positions 28 to 507 of the family's 1533-position model. The record is from RNAcentral.